UCCGCCGUACAUGAUUUCGUGUCUACCUUACGAUUGUACUCGUGUGCGGUGCUCUGAAUCAUACAACAUCACAUGCACGUUACAUACGUACCUACGUAUCGCAUAUCGCAUAUUGCACCACGUCGCUGUACGCGCGCGAGUUGCAGCGGUACGAGAUGCGUAAUGGUUUUUCUUCUCCAAUUCUUUGAUCGCCUUGGGACAACAAACUGCUGCAAUACAACAAGCGAAACGCAACAUCAGAGGCAAUAGAUUUCAAAACCGACGGUUUGUAACUAAUUGUCUACGAUCUGACCAUAUCCAUAUAAAACCGAGGGACGAUUUCAAUGCUGCUGCCGCUGAUGCCGAUGCUGCUCCUAGAUGAGCGAGGAAAUAGAUCGCGAAAAGAAUUAUGUGCCUGGUGCAGGAAUGGAGAGCAGAUUUUUCAUUCGAUUCACGACGAGUGUAUACGGUGUUCCGCAAUAACGGAUUUAUGUGUUAUAAAAAACACGAAAUGGAAGGUACGGAGUAAAAAUAAUAAUUGUUCACUCGACUAUAGGAGGAAUCGUUCUGAAAUCGUGAGAGUGGAGAGAAAAUUUAACAAGUCCGAAGUCACGUAGAUUCCCAAUUUUCGCACCCUUUGAUUUUUGGAUUCUGCGCAAUUAGCGAAUUUCUAAGUUACUAAUGAAGAAAAACGUCCAGCGAUGUUCCAAAUUUUGAUAUCCGACAUUCGAACACACCUUGUUUUAAUACAUAUACAAUUUUAUAAAAUAUUAUUCCGUAAAAAUAAUUCCGUAGCAUGAGAUAAUCACCGGCUUACAUGCCUGAAUACAUCCCAAAGGCUAUAUGCCGGAUGACGAGCAAGAUUUAGGUAAUUAGUGCGGUAUGAGCCCUUGAUUACUAAUUACUUAAGGGGUUACUCGUCCAUUACUAAUUAGUAACACAAUCUCUUUGUAGAUCACGAGAUAAAUUAUAUCCACAAGAUCAUUGCUCUCCAUCGAGUCGUUAAAAGGAAAUAGUCAAAUAGAUAAAGUGGUCAAAUUUUUCAACAGAUUUCCGAUUCCAAAAUUUUGCAAUGAUUCAUUGCGUUUGGAUUUUCGUUAAUUCGGUCACUGUUCGACCUUGAAAUUCAAAUGAUCGCGCGUCGCAAUUAAAUUACAAGAAAUCCACCGUAUAUGUAUCUACCAUUCAUAUACGUACACAUUUAUUUAUAUAUGGUUGUUAAUUAGUUUCGUGUAGAGAACGGAAAUUGAACGCCUACGCCCGCAAUACAUGCGAACGUACUCUGAACCUCAGACAUAUGUAUUCCAUUAGGAUCCACAUUGCAUCUAUUUACCUGUCGGCCCCAGUACAUACAGGUACAUGAAUAAAUGUAACACGCUCGUCCGAUUUACCUGCAAUUUCGAGACAAGACUUUAUUAUCAAAAAACACCGAUAAGUUGGAUGAUGUGACUCGCCAUGAAUGCAAAAUUCGUAUACCUGUGUAAAAUGUACAUAAAAAAAGAAUCGGUACGUAAUUUAUCCAAUUGGAAAAAGUGGUUGGAAAUUUUUGUAAAAACUCCACGUUUGAAUAGACUGAAAAAAAAAAUCGAAUCAUCAAUCAUCACCUCGUAGAAGCCUUUGUUCUAUCCUCUUUUUUGACGAUCUACUCCAGACGAGGUACCGGCGGAUAUUAAGUGAGAAUACAAAAUGACGUAUACAAGUUAAGGGUACGUUAAGGUAUUAAGGUACAGUAUCCACCUAACUAUUGGUCCAGGUUAUUUAUGUGACGUGCCAUUACAAACUCUUAAUUGUUUGACUAAUGCGCCGCUAAGUGCGGCGUGACCCGCACGCGAGGUCCGGUUCAGAGGUCCGUCUGCGGCUCUCGCAUAUAAUCUACAUACACAUAUUCAUAUAUCUAUGUAUUACAUCAACAACAUACGUACAUGUGUUACAUACUCGCACGUGUACGAGUAUGCGUGUGCAUCUCACGCACACGAGACACCGCGAGGAUCCUUAUGUACGCGGCUCGUGUUCAGAGUUGAUGUCCAGGUCGUAAUUAGAGAAGACGUAAUUGUUGGACCAACCGCCGCGUGCGCGAUUUUCCGUAUCACGUACGGUACCGUCAGACAUCUGUUACGUAGUGUGUGCGGUAAAUAUAUCAUAGAAAAUAUAAACCUAUCCGCCCGACAUUUUCAUGGUGCGACAACCGUCAGGAUAGCGCAGGUACACCACCGCGUCGGAUACGCGGCAGUUUCAUUUUGAAUAACGAAAUUUUCUCCCAAAAAAAGAAAAACAAAAAAAAAGAAAACAAAAACAAAAAAAAAACAACAAAUCUGUCGGCAUUUUUGAGGAUUAGAUAUUUUCUCAACGGUGCGAACGAGAUCGUAAUGUAACCGCGAUUGUAUCUAACGACCAAUUAUAACGUCAGCAUCGGUACAUAUGUAUAGGUAUACCAUAUAGUAUAUGCGAUGUAGGUAUAGGUAUACAGGUACACGGUGUGUCGAGGUAUACGACGUAGGUAUCGACUCCUGCACCGCACCUAUUAUCCGCGAUCAUUAUCUACGGGCGUUUACUAAACGAUUCACACCACGCGAGAAUAAAACAGAAAAAAAAACAACUAAAAACUAAAAAAGAAAAAAAAAAAGAAAAACCAAAGAACCUGAGUUAAAACUGAAACCAGAACCAAAAAGGAAACCGCACUAAAUCAUGUAUAACCUGGAUCACGUGGUAUUAUAGGUAUUUGAGGCAACCCCGACCUAAGACAAGGGGUAGAAGGUAUAAUGAAAUAGAUUUUUCACACCUGCCGAAAUUUCGUCCGUUUGAGAUGGCGAAAAAAUGCGAUGUAAAAUCGAAGAGGAGAAUAGAAUAAAAUGAAAGCUUAUGGGAGAUUUAUACGUAGCUGGUGGUUGAAAAAAUUAUGUUGCAAUUCAUUUGCUCGAAGUGCGAGAUAAUGUUAUAAUGUUAAACCGCGCGUAUAUUAUGCAUCUAACAUAUUGUAUACAUCGAGUAUAUAUGUUGGUCGACCUGUUCGUGGACAGGUGAGAUCGCGUAGGAAGUGUCUUGUUUAUAGUCAUAUCCUUUAAGAAAUGUUGACGCCCCUUUUCACGAGUUCUCUCAAUGUACAUUUUGAACCGUGUAGAACGUUUCUUGCACGUAUAAUAUUUAAUAUCGUACACCAGUGUAUAAUACGCACGCGUAUAAUUGAUGCGUUUUUAAUGUCACUAGGGCAAACAAAAUGUCAAAUUGAGAGAAAAAAAAAAAAAAACAAAAAACAACAACACGAAAGACGAAAAUCAGAUACCGAAGAAAGUAGAAAAAAAAUUCAAAUGUAAGUAAUACCUCUUGCCGAUGGAUUCAUUUGAUUUAUUCCGAUACAAUUAAUUACGUGAGAAUAAAAAAAAAAAGGAUCUCGGAGUGAAAAACAUUUUUGGCACAGUCAUGCCGAAGGUAGUUUUUUUUUUUCCUCUCAUUUUCCGAAGCCCAGCUUUUUUGAAAACGGAAUUAACGAGCUAGAGAUUAUACGUAACCCGGAGAUCCUAUGGAUCGAUUAAAAAGAUCCUUAGAUCCUAUAUUGAAGAUCGGCAACCGUGAAAUUUCUCGUUAAACUUAAGACAGACGGACAGAUCUGAAACGGAGGGCUGUCUUAAAUAAAACGGCACGUCCUUUAAAACCAGCUAAAAGAUAACUGAUUUCAAGCUUCGUUAUUUUUCGACACCCUGUUUAUAAUUAGUCUUCUUCACACCUUGUCCAAAUGAAAUCGAUCCAAAUCCCAAGCUCGGAGAUAACGAGCUCCGAACGGGAUUAGCGAAAUGCACACAUUCACGUCUCCAGCCAAACGAAACACCGAUCUUCAGUUUGAUGAUCGAAAUCAGAAAAUUUUAGGUCAAAGAAAUUGAAAAUCGUAUGCCAGUCACACGAAGUCUUAUACGGUACCGGGCUGUAUUAUACCACGUAACAGACGAGGUAAUUAUUACGUAAUGAGGGAGUACAAUCAAGUAUCAAAUGACCAUUAUCGGUUCAACCUUGACUCAUUCGAUACAAGUAAUCGCUACCGUGUUGGUGAACAAGAAAACAGUAAACAGGAAGAAAUAAUAAACGCGUACUUUGACAUUACGCAGUGCGUGGUGGACAUCUUCAAUUCCAUUCCACCCUCUUCUGCAUCUGCAUUCUUCGUAUCGUCGAAUGUAUUUUCUUUCUCUCUUCUUUCGUUCCGCUAUUCGUUCGACUCUUCUUUUGCCGCAUUAAUUACUCUCUAUCUUUCGUGUUUAUUUAUUUCUCAGUUCGAGUUACAUUACCGUACCUCACCGGCACACACAGCCGGAUCAUUGUACGUACAUCCGUAGCGCAAAAACAAGUUCAAACAUCACGCCACAAUGACGCUCGAUAUGACGUGUACGUGUGGACGCGGAACGAGAAGUGUCAUACGAUGCCGUAAAAACAGAAGAAGUAGAAUAAAGUACGAAGAGAAAAAAGAAAGAAAAAAAAAAAAACCAUGUCAAAAUACGCACCAAAGCGAAAUCCGAUGUGCAACGUGCGUCUUUCGCAAUUGACAAGAGAGCCACAACCUAACCCGCGUGUUUACGAUUACGUCAAAGAGUAAUCGCUAUGUACCUACUACGUACAAUUUUCAGACGUUUACAUAUAUGUAUUGUACAUACCUGUAUACGCGUAUCUCUUCGUAUUCACAUACAUACCAGCAAAAUUUUCUUAUUUUCUCAUCUUUCCUUUUUGUUAUCGUACGAUUGUCACGUAGUUUCUUCUUGUCGAAGACGAAGUGUGCCCCGUAUGAAGAUGACGCCGUUGAUCGGGUUUCGUGUUACUUUUAACGCGUGAGCUUUGAGUUUCGAAGGCCAAUGGACGUGCAAAUGUCCCUCUACGUGUAACACACGCGCCUCGAAUACACACAACACGUGCAUGCAAUAAGUAAUUCUUGAUCUGUAUUAUAGUAUUAUGACUCGUGCAGUCCGAUGCGGUACGAUGAUAUGAUACGGAUUAAAUAUCCCUGCGAAAGCAUUCCCGGAGGAUAAGAACGACGAGUGGUUGGCAAAAGGAAAUAAAGGAGAAGAAAAACAGAACACGAUAUACGCUGCGGAUCACCGACUGCAACACCUUAUGCGUAUGGAGGUCACGACCUUCCGGAGCGAACGUUAGAGCGGACUUCCGGCGCCCUGAGAUACUUGGAUGAGAUGAAAAACCGCAGGAAUAUCCUCGUAACAUAUAUCCUCCCUACUUCACAGGAUGUAGACAGUUAUGGACUGGCCUCUUUUUUUGAACCCCUCCGAAUAGAGAGAGAGAGAGAGAGAGAAGAAAAAAAUGAUGAAAAAGAUCCGUUAUGAUCGCUCUCGCGGCUUCAUUUUUGUGUGUAAAAAAAUCACGUUUUAUGGGUUUUAGGUUUGAACAGACUAACUAUUUGAAAAAAAAAAAAAAAAACAUUUUUUCGAUUA
This is a long non-coding RNA of Athalia rosae (coleseed sawfly), 5402 nucleotides long. RefSeq lists it as uncharacterized. Lineage: Eukaryota; Metazoa; Arthropoda; Insecta; Hymenoptera; Athaliidae. The record is from RefSeq and is a predicted model, not a curated record. The transcript has 2 exons.